Molecule: microRNA precursor, 73 nt
Organism: Dipodomys ordii (Ord's kangaroo rat)
Lineage: Eukaryota; Metazoa; Chordata; Mammalia; Rodentia; Heteromyidae
Source: Ensembl
GAGGGGGAAGGCGGGAGAAGAGAAGAGAGUGGUUUAUGGGCUCCUCACUCCUCCCCUCCCGUCUUGUUCUCUC